Molecule: ribosomal RNA, 476 nt
Filed under: uncultured Glomus
Lineage: Eukaryota; Fungi; Glomeromycota; Glomeromycetes; Glomerales; Glomeraceae
Description: SSU rRNA
Rfam family: Eukaryotic small subunit ribosomal RNA
Source: RNAcentral
AGCAGCCGCGGUAAUUCCAGCUCCAAUAGCGUAUAUUAAAGUUGUUGCAGUUAAAAAGCUCGUAGUUGAAUUUCGAGAUCAGUACGCUGGUCGUGCCUUCGGUAUGCACUGGUGUCACUGGUUUCUCCCUUCUGAAGAACCGUCAUGCCAUUCAGUUGGUGUGGCGGGGAAUCAGGACUGUUACUUUGAAAAAAUUAGAGUGUUUAAAGCAGGCUCGCGCUUGAAUACAUUAGCAUGGAAUAAUGAAAUAGGACGUUUGACCCUAUUUUGUUGGUUUCUAGGAUCGACGUAAUGAUUAAUAGGGAUAGUUGGGGGCAUUAGUAUUCAAUUGUCAGAGGUGAAAUUCUUGGAUUUAUUGAAGACUAACUACUGCGAAAGCAUUUGCCAAGGAUGUUUUCAUUAAUCAAGAACGAAAGUUAGGGGAUCGAAGACGAUCAGAUACCGUCGUAGUCUUAACCAUAAACUAUGCCGACUAG